This is a non-coding RNA of Penaeus vannamei (Pacific white shrimp), 1064 nucleotides long. NCBI's taxonomy places the organism in Eukaryota, Metazoa, Arthropoda, Malacostraca, Decapoda, Penaeidae. The record is from RefSeq and is a predicted model, not a curated record.
CAAUCCAGCUCCUGAAGGAACAGCGGGAGGCCAAGGCGCUGUACGAGGAGGUGCGCGUCCUGUGCUGGGUCCCCGUGUCCCCGGGGCUCCACAACAAGACCGCGGUUCACGUCAAAGCCACGUGGGGGAAGCGCUGUAACAAGCUGCUCUUCAUAAGUACCAAGGAUGACGCCAGCAUCAGCGCCGUCGACGUCGGGAGCGAGGAAGGCUUCAAGGCGCUCUGGAACAAGACUCGGUCUGCGCUCAAGUACUUCUACGCGAACUUUUUCAACGACUACGAGUGGUUCCUGAAGGCCGACGAUAACACGUACGUUGUGCUGGAGAACCUGCGGUAUAUGCUACGGGCUUAUGACACGAACGAUCCGGUGUACUUUGGGCAUCACUAUAAAUCGAAAGGGGGAUACAAUUCGGGAGGUGCGGGAUAUGUGUUAGGCCGAGAAACCCUUCGUAGGUUUGUCGAGAAGGCAUUACCCAACGAAGCCAUUUGCACAUCACGGAGAUACGGGGAGGAUUUUCAACUAGGUAACUGCAGUGGUUGUGUGCCAUGCUUGCUGAUAUCAACGCGAUAUUAUUCUUGUUUCCCUCUGUGCUUCGUGCUUCCCAAGGCCAGUGUCUCCAGGCAGUCGGCGUCGCAAUCGUGGACACCCGCGACCACCUCAAGCAAGGGAGGUUCUUUCAACAACAUGUCAGGGAAAUCUUGCAGAAUCCUAAUAUUCACUCACACCUUGUUUACUACCCGGUCAAAAAGGAUGGCACGCCAGACAGCUGUUGUUCCGACACUGUCAUAUCUUUCCACCAGAUGUCAAUCGCCGACCUUUAUAUGCUAGACUACCUCAUCUACAAAGUCCGGGUCUUCGGCUACAUCCAGCCCCUGCCCUUACGGGUUCCUCUCCCGCCUGACCUUCAAGGCGUCCCAAACAGGACGCUUCAAAAGUAUUUCCUGUAAGGGAGACCGAGUCAAAGUGCUUUUCUUGGAUUUGGAAAUGGCAAAGAAUGGAGGUUUAAAACUGGAUCAAAGGAAACUUAAACUUUCCUGUCACUUAGAAAAUAAACUAAUAAUAAAA